UAUUUUCUAGACAUGACUACGUGACUUGAGGAAAAUAAGAAAUUUAUUAAGGAGAAGAGAUUUUACUCCUGACAGCAGAUGCAUCGGAAACAAUCAAACAACGCUAGUAACAAAAGGCGUUUGGUUUUGCAAUAUUUCAUCAGUUCUUCAAAAGAAACAACAUGAACAAGUCAGCACUUCUACUUUUGCUUCUCAUCGGACUUCUCGUCCUCACUGAAACUACUACUGCGUGGUGGCAUCGUCGUCGUCGCAGCAAUCUUCGUCGUCGUGCCCCCCGGUAUAAUCAACUAAAAAUACCACGAAUGAACGAAAUUCUAGACUUGGAGUUCGAGGAUAUUUCUCCAAAGAUGAAAUUAUGAUGAAGUUUCCUUUCAAGCUUCAAUCGUAAAAUUUUAAUAAAUUAAACAUCAUCAAAUAUA
Non-coding RNA from Ciona intestinalis (vase tunicate), 419 nucleotides. NCBI's taxonomy places the organism in Eukaryota, Metazoa, Chordata, Ascidiacea, Phlebobranchia, Cionidae. The record is from RefSeq and is a predicted model, not a curated record.